This 484-nucleotide ribosomal RNA is filed under the name uncultured bacterium. RNAcentral describes it as "partial 16S ribosomal RNA". It matches the Rfam family "Bacterial small subunit ribosomal RNA", at positions 30 to 507 of the family's 1533-position model. The record is from RNAcentral.
AUUGAACGCUGGCGGCAGGCCUAACACAUGCAAGUCGAGCGGAUGAAGGGAGCUUGCUCCUGGAUUCAGCGGCGGACGGGUGAGUAAUGCCUAGGAAUCUGCCUGGUAGUGGGGUAUAACGUCCGGAAACGGGCGCUAAUACCGCAUACGUCCUGAGGGAGAAAGUGGGGGACCUUCGGACCUCACGCUAUCAGAUGAGCCUAGGUCGGAUUAGCUAGUUGGUGGGGUAAAGGCCUACCAAGGCGACGAUCCGUAACUGGUCUGAGAGGAUGAUCAGUCACACUGGAACUGAGACACGGUCCAGACUCCUACGGGAGGCAGCAGUGGGGAAUAUUGGACAAUGGGCGAAAGCCUGAUCCAGCCAUGCCGCGUGUGUGAAGAAGGUCUUCGGAUUGUAAAGCACUUUAAGUUGGGAGGAAGGGCAGUAAGUUAAUACCUUGCUGUUUUGACGUUACCAACAGAAUAAGCACCGGCUAACUUCGUG